Molecule: ribosomal RNA, 594 nt
Filed under: uncultured bacterium
Lineage: Bacteria
Description: bacterial SSU rRNA
Rfam family: Bacterial small subunit ribosomal RNA
Source: RNAcentral
CCUACGGGAGGCAGCAGUGGGGAAUCUUGCGCAAUGGGCGAAAGCCUGACGCAGCCAUGCCGCGUGAAUGAUGAAGGUCUUAGGAUUGUAAAAUUCUUUCACCGGGGACGAUAAUGACGGUACCCGGAGAAGAAGCCCCGGCUAACUUCGUGCCAGCAGCCGCGGUAAUACGAAGGGGGCUAGCGUUGCUCGGAAUUACUGGGCGUAAAGGGAGCGUAGGCGGAUAGUUUAGUCAGAGGUGAAAGCCCAGGGCUCAACCUUGGAAUUGCCUUUGAUACUGGCUAUCUUGAGUGUGGGAGAGGUAUGUGGAACUCCGAGUGUAGAGGUGAAAUUCGUAGAUAUUCGGAAGAACACCAGUGGCGAAGGCGACAUACUGGCCCAUUACUGACGCUGAGGCUCGAAAGCGUGGGGAGCAAACAGGAUUAGAUACCCUGGUAGUCCACGCUGUAAACGAUGAGUGCUAGUUGUCGGCAGGCAUGCCUGUCGGUGACGCAGCUAACGCAUUAAGCACUCCGCCUGGGGAGUACGGUCGCGAGAUUAAAACUCAAAGGAAUUGACGGCGNGAGACGNGCGAGGACGACGACGAGGGAGAGG